Molecule: transfer RNA, 73 nt
Filed under: Lipinia relicta
Lineage: Eukaryota; Metazoa; Chordata; Lepidosauria; Squamata; Scincidae
Description: tRNA-Asx
Source: RNAcentral
CUAGACAGACGGGCCUUGAUCCCGUAAAAUUUUAAUUAACAGCUAAACACCCAAUCCAGCGGGCUUCUGUCCG